UCAAGCACCCUAGGAAUAAAAAGCAAUUGCUUUAGCUCCUGGCAAAGGGUGGCUCCUGCUAUAGAGACUGCAAAUCCAAGACUGGUCCUACAGCUGCUGCCACCUCCAGAGCAGAUUGGCAAGGAUAAGACAUGGCUGAGGUUAAUGUCAUGUCCCUAUGGUUGUAUACCAGCAAUACCUAUGCUACAGAUGAAUCCCCAAACCCACCUGUGGAUACGUGCUGGAGCAACACAGCCUUCUUCAUUAUUCAAGGACAAAGAACCAAGAUGACAAACUGUCUGAAUUAAAGAUGUUGCACAGCCUUACUUUCCAGAUGUCUAUGAACUAAAUUUGAAAUGGCUGUGUUGGAGACUGAUGGGAGUUGUAGUCUAAGUACAGCUAGAGAGCAGCAGGUUGGGGAAAGCCGAUGAGGCACAUCAGAGUUCCAUUGCUCUCAAGGGGCUCAUCUACACCAAGUAGGAUAUUCCAGUAUGAAAGUGGUGUAUAAAAGACAGGAUCUACACUACUGCUUUAUAGUGGCAUUGAAGUGCACUAACAACUGUUGGGGCCCACGACACAUGUCAUAUGCUGCUUUCAAACUGCUUUCAUAGUGUUAUAUCUUGCUUGGUGUAGAUCUGUCAAUGGGCCCCAACAGUUGUCAGUGCACUUCAAUACCGCUAUAAAGUAGUAGUGUAGAUCCUGCCUGUUAUAUACUUUCAUACCACUUUCAUAGUGGAAUAUCCUGCUUGGUGUAGAUGAGCCCAAGGAGUCACUUGCUACAUGGCACCUACUUUGAUUGUGAUAAGUAAGCUGGACGAAGGAAACUGAUGGGUAGAAGUCUUCAGCCUUUUGAAACUCAAGUCAAGACCCACUUCAACCCAAACCCAAAUUAUGAGAACUACUUUUAAUCCACGACUGUAAAUGACAAUCUUUGUUUGUCUUUCUCUGGCCAGAUCUACACCAGCAGGAUAUAGCACUAUGAAAGCAGUAUGAAAGAGGCAGGAGCCACAGCAAGCAAGAUAUAGCACUAUGAAAGAGGCAUGAAAGUAAUAUAUGGUAUGUGUCAUUGGGCCCCAACAGUAGUCAGUGCACUUCAAUACUGCUAUAAAGCAGUAGUGUGGCUCCUGCCUCUUAUCUACUGCUUUCAUACCACUUUCAUAGUGCUAUAUCCUGCUCGGAGUAGAUUUGGCUUCCGUUUCUCUUCCUCUCUCUUUCCCAUCCAAAAUCAAAAAGAAAAGAAAAGCUUAAAAUACCGCUAGUGUGACCCACUUUGGACUGGAGUAUAAACCAGUUAUGGGUCACAACCAUGCAUGCCACAUUUUUUAAACUAUUUGACAAUACUCUCUUAAACGUGAUCACACCAAUACAGCCAUCAGAGACUGUUGAUGUAGCACCAGCUUAAGCUGUUAAAUUCUAUGGCUUUGGUAUUCCUGUGGUGUAAAGAGUGGGGUUACGUAGGUCUCAAAAUGGACCACCCAACAGUCAGGACCCUCUGCUGCGGCUGAAAACCUGGCUAAUUAACCAUAACUGUACAAGAGAUCCAUGUAGGCUGCAGUGAUUGAUAUUCAUAGGCUAAUCCCUGCUCGACUAGACCUAUCAAGUUCUGGUUACCUCUGUGAUGUCUCAUCAGUUUGAGCAACCUGUCACUAUGAGUAUCAGCAGAUGAGGAUGUCACCUGGGGCUGUGUCCUGAUCUGCCCCACUGUCUUCUCUGGAGCUUGGCCUUCAGCCAGUGCCAGCUCCAGGUUUUCGAGAGCCCUUGGGCAAGGCUCCCCCUCCUUCUUUAAGUCUACUUUGUCACCACCAUUGUCACUAUUGCUCUUCCUCCUCCUCUUUCUCAGCAUUGCUUGCUUGCUUCACAAGCAAUAGCCAAUGAGCAAGUAGUCAGUGGCAUCUACUGCUUCUCCUUCUCACCACCCGAAUGAGAGGCAGAUGAACAAGGAAGUUGUAAUGGUGGAAGAGCAAGUCCUGACGGCUCUUGAUAGUGGGCCCCUGCUGCAGUUUACACCUACUCAGCUGGUGCCCAACCAUGACUGCCCUUGAUGCUGAACCUGUCCUCAGUCCAGUCCUGACUAUACCCUUCCUCUGAUCCCUCGGAGCCUAAUCUACCUUCCUGGAACCUGAGCUGUGGCCCAGCUCUGACUAUGCCCCUUCAUCUGGCUCCUUGGACCCUGAUCUGCUUGCUCCACCUUCAGCCAUGCACUUGUCUCAGCACCCAGCAAUGAGGAGCAGACCCUGGCUAUGGCUUGAAGUAUGGCCAUACCUAUAGUCACCUUGUAUCUUUUGUGGUUUCACUGCAGUGACAGCUAAUGGCCUGUAAUAACCACUGAUCUGGGAAGUAACGUGAGGAAUACUAGUUCAGCUCAGACCAUCAGUACAAGAUGUUAAGUUUUCAGGAUUGCUAAAAUAAUAUUUUCCAAUGCCAUGCAUAGUAUAUUCACCUACUGCCUAGACAUUUUUGUCUUAUUUCAGUUGCCUUAUACAGGCAAGCUGUAUCAGCCGCUAAUUGGUCUGUGUAUUCUGCUGGGCUUUUAUUAACAGACACAUAAGGAAGAUUUCACCCAUUUGGAUAGGUGCCUGAAUCCUAAAUCACUCAAUUGGAUAGUUGCCUGUACCCUUAAUCUGCAUCUUGAAAUAACCCAAUGCAUGAGAUGCAAAAAGAAUGAGAGCUUUGUGCAACAUACAUGCUGAUAAAUGAAGGCUGCACUAGAAGAUGUUAAAUAUCGCCAUGGCUUGGAUCAUAAAGCAAUGUGCAGAAGUCUUAUCAGAAAUAUUCCCACAAAGUAGCUUGUUACUAGGAAAAAGACCCAGUAUCAAAGAAAGAAGAACCCAAAGCAGCAGACAAUUGGGGCUAAGAAGAAGAGCUGGAAUAUAGGGGGACGUUAUGGGCUCCCACAUUCUCCCUUUCCUCUUGAUAUUGCUUAGCAGUGAAUAUUUGGUCUAACCUUGCUUAAGUGACUUUUUCAACUCUGGCCUAUGUACCAUUAGUUAAUUCUCGUGAUCCUUAAAAUCUCUGAAUUCUAAGUUUGAAAAUGGCAGCAGUAAGUACUACCUGAGACUGUUUCUAAAAUUUCUAUUAUUUGAGUGUCCUAUUUGUUUGUGGUUUAUUAUAAAUGGUGUUUACAUGA
This is a long non-coding RNA of Elgaria multicarinata webbii, 3106 nucleotides long. RefSeq lists it as uncharacterized. Lineage: Eukaryota; Metazoa; Chordata; Lepidosauria; Squamata; Anguidae. The transcript has 3 exons. The record is from RefSeq and is a predicted model, not a curated record.